This 129-nucleotide small RNA is filed under the name Marmota monax (woodchuck). The record is from RNAcentral. Lineage: Eukaryota; Metazoa; Chordata; Mammalia; Rodentia; Sciuridae.
GCCAGGUGCAGUGGUCGUUGCAUGCCUGUAAUCCCAGUGGCUCGGGAGGCUGAGGCAGGAGGAUCACGAGUUCAAAGCCAGCGUCAGUAAUGGCAAGGCACUAAGCAACUCAGUGAGACCCUGUCUCUU